Molecule: ribosomal RNA, 807 nt
Filed under: uncultured bacterium
Lineage: Bacteria
Description: bacterial SSU rRNA
Rfam family: Bacterial small subunit ribosomal RNA
Source: RNAcentral
GCAAGUCGGACGAGGUGCUUUUGUAGCAAUACGAGAGUAUCCUAGUGGCGAACGGGUGAGUAACGCGUUGGUGACCUACCCCAAAGUGUGGGAUAACAGUCCGAAAGGAUUGCUAAUACCGCAUGUGGUUAUUGGAUCUAGAAACUGAUAACUAAAGGAGCAAUUCGCUUUGGGAGGGACCUGCGUCCCAUCAGCUAGUUGGUGAGGUAACGGCUCACCAAGGCUACGACGGGUAGGGGACCUGAGAGGGUGGCCCCCCACAAUGGAACUGAAACACGGUCCAUACACCUACGGGUGGCAGCAGUAGGGAAUAUUGCACAAUGGGCGAAAGCCUGAUGCAGCAACGCCGCGUGUGCGAUGAAGGCCUUCGGGUCGUAAAGCACUUUUCUGAGAGAUGAGAAAGGACAGUAUCUCAGGAAUAAGUCUCGGCUAACUACGUGCCAGCAGCCGCGGUAACACGUAGGAGGCGAGCGUUAUCCGGAUUCACUGGGCGUAAAGCGCGUGCAGGCGGUUUGGUAAGUUGAUCGUGAAAGCUCCCGGCUCAACUGGGAGAGGUCGUUCAAUACUACCAAACUAGAGAGUAGAAGAGGAAAAUGGAAUUCCCGGUGUAGUGGUGAAAUGCGUAGAUAUCGGGAGGAACACCAGUGGCGAAGGCGAUUUUCUGGUCUAUUUCUGACGCUCAGACGCGACAGCUAGGGUAGUAAACGGGAUUAGAGACCCCGGUAAUCCUAGCCGUAAACGAUGUGAACUUGGCGUCGGUGGCUUAAACACCAUCGGUGCCGAAGCAAACGCGAUAAGUUCACCGCC